Molecule: long non-coding RNA, 478 nt
Organism: Vitis vinifera (wine grape)
Lineage: Eukaryota; Viridiplantae; Streptophyta; Magnoliopsida; Vitales; Vitaceae
Exons: 2
Source: RefSeq, a predicted model, not a curated record
UGUACCAUCUCAAGAAGUCAUUCUAUUAUUGAAUCUUUGUUUAAUUUCACCAGGUGUAUUCUGGGCAGUGAUGGAAGCAUCACUUAAGAAGAUGUCGACCAAACUCAAUACGUUGGUGAAGCUGCCAAGGGUGAUGGGUCCAUUGCUGAGAUGAAAACGGGGGAAGGAAAAACCUUGGUUUCCACAUUAGCAGCCUCUCUCAACGCCCUCACUGGUGAGGGUGUUCAUGGAUGAUAUGCCAAAGCCUGGUCAAGCCCCUCGUCCUGCUGGAGGAGCUCCUGUUCGCACCUGAUAAAAAGAAGUUGAUUUCCUCGGUCAUUCUGCUUUCAAACAGUUACCUGAAAUUUUCAGAACUUUUGAGGCCAUUUGUUUUUGUUUUUCUUGGUUUGGGAGAUUUUGAUUAUGAUGGAAGGUUUAACUUUUGCUGUUUAAUGCUUUUGAGUAUUAAUGUAGUAUCAGGAAAAUGAAAAUUGAGACA